AUACAGAGGGUGCAAGCGUUGCUCGGAUUUACUGGGCGUAAAGCGUACGCAGACGGCCACGCAGGUCGGGUGUGAAAGCCCCGGGCUCAACCCGGGAAUUGCAUUCGAAACCAUGUGGCUCGAGUGUGGGAGAGGAAAGUGGAAUUCCUGGUGUAGAGGUGAAAUUCGUAGAUAUCAGGAGGAACACCGGCGGCGAAGGCGGCUUUCUGGUCCACAACUGACGUUCAGGUACGAAAGCGUGGGGAGCAAACAGGAUUAGAUACCCUGGUAGUCCACGCUGUAAACGAUGAGUGCUGGAUGUCGGGGGUAUUCACCCCCUCGGUAUCGAAGCUAACGCGUUAAGCACUCCGCCUGGGGAGUACGGCCGCAAGGUUGAA
Molecule: ribosomal RNA, 377 nt
Filed under: uncultured Pseudobdellovibrionaceae bacterium
Lineage: Bacteria; Pseudomonadati; Bdellovibrionota; Bdellovibrionia; Bdellovibrionales; Pseudobdellovibrionaceae
Description: bacterial SSU rRNA
Rfam family: Bacterial small subunit ribosomal RNA
Source: RNAcentral